UACGAAGGGGGCUAGCGUUGCUCGGAAUGACUGGGCGUAAAGGGCGCGUAGGCGGCGUGUCAAGUCAAUUGUGAAAUCUCCGGGCUUAACUCGGAACGGUCAAUUGAUACUGAUGUGCUAGAGUGCAGAAGGGGCAAUCGGAAUUCUUGGUGUAGCGGUGAAAUGCGUAGAUAUCAAGAGGAACACCUGAGGUGAAGACGGGUUGCUGGGCUGACACUGACGCUGAGGCGCGAAAGCUAGGGUAGCAAACGGG
This 253-nucleotide ribosomal RNA is filed under the name uncultured bacterium. Its description in RNAcentral is "partial 16S ribosomal RNA". It matches the Rfam family "Bacterial small subunit ribosomal RNA", at positions 524 to 776 of the family's 1533-position model. The record is from RNAcentral.